UACGAAGGGGGCUAGCGUUGUUCGGAAUUACUGGGCGUAAAGCGUGCGCAGGCGGCCUUACAAGUCAGGGGUGAAAGCCCAGAGCUCAACUCUGGAAUUGCCUUUGAAACUGUUCGGCUCGAGUGCGGGAGAGGUGAGUGGAAUUCCCAGUGUAGAGGUGAAAUUCGUAGAUAUUGGGAAGAACACCGGUGGCGAAGGCGGCUCACUGGCCCGUUUCUGACGCUCAUGCACGAUAGCGUGGGGAU
Molecule: ribosomal RNA, 245 nt
Filed under: uncultured Rhizomicrobium sp.
Lineage: Bacteria; Pseudomonadati; Pseudomonadota; Alphaproteobacteria; Micropepsales; Micropepsaceae
Description: partial 16S ribosomal RNA
Rfam family: Bacterial small subunit ribosomal RNA
Source: RNAcentral